GCCUUCGUGGUGUAGAGGUCAGCACGCUGGGCGCGUAUUCCAGAGGUCCGUGGUUCAAACCCCGGUGAAGGCG
This 73-nucleotide transfer RNA is filed under the name Stegodyphus mimosarum. It matches the Rfam family "tRNA". Rfam says of the family: Transfer RNA (tRNA) molecules are approximately 80 nucleotides in length. Their secondary structure includes four short double-helical elements and three loops (D, anti-codon, and T loops). The record is from Rfam by way of RNAcentral. Lineage: Eukaryota; Metazoa; Arthropoda; Arachnida; Araneae; Eresidae.